AUAUGGUUUGGUAUGGCUGUGUGGAACACCUGGAGCUGGACCAAAGUGCUUCACUGCUUCACGUGCAUUCUUUGGACCUCUGAGGAGAAGCGUGUUCUGUCCAAGUGGAGCCCUGAGAGCCAACUGAUCGAAUGUCAAGCAUUCGCCCCCAGCCUUCUCAAUCCUUGCCCUGGCUGUCUUUGUGAACUUCAAAGCACACACCUUCAAUUUUGGAACUUCAUAAGCCCUAACAUCGUCGGUAACAGUUCCCACAAGGACAACAGUCUUAUCGCCCUUUCCUUCAGCAUAAGAAAUCAACCUCGAGAGAGAAAGUGGAGGCUUGUUAAUCUUGCUCAUGAAG
RNAcentral lists this unclassified non-coding RNA (340 nucleotides) under Hevea brasiliensis (rubber tree). Lineage: Eukaryota; Viridiplantae; Streptophyta; Magnoliopsida; Malpighiales; Euphorbiaceae. The record is from RNAcentral.